CAGUAGCCACGGUAAUACGUAGGUGGCAAGCGUUGUCCGGAAUUAUUGGGCGUAAAGGGCUCGCAGGCGGUUUCUUAAGUCUGAUGUGAAAGCCCCCGGCUCAACCGGGGAGGGUCAUUGGAAACUGGGAAACUUGAGUGCAGAAGAGGAGAGUGGAAUUCCACGUGUAGCGGUGAAAUGCGUAGAGAUGUGGAGGAACACCAGUGGCGAAGGCGACUCUCUGGUCUGUAACUGACGCUGAGGAGCGAAAGCGUGGGGAGCGAACAGGAUUAGAGACCCCUGUAGUCCCUGUCUCUUAUAU
Molecule: ribosomal RNA, 301 nt
Filed under: uncultured bacterium
Lineage: Bacteria
Description: partial 16S ribosomal RNA
Rfam family: Bacterial small subunit ribosomal RNA
Source: RNAcentral